Peromyscus maniculatus bairdii (prairie deer mouse) is the source of this 102-nucleotide small nuclear RNA. Lineage: Eukaryota; Metazoa; Chordata; Mammalia; Rodentia; Cricetidae. The record is from Ensembl.
UUGCUCCAGCAGUAGAUUGACUAAAGUUGGAAGGAUACAGAGAAGAUUGGCCCAGCCCCAGUGCAAGGGGACACACGAAUACAUGAAGAAUCCCACACUUUA